Molecule: transfer RNA, 72 nt
Filed under: bacterium
Lineage: Bacteria
Rfam family: tRNA
About the family: Transfer RNA (tRNA) molecules are approximately 80 nucleotides in length. Their secondary structure includes four short double-helical elements and three loops (D, anti-codon, and T loops).
Source: Rfam by way of RNAcentral
GGGAGCGUGGUCUAAUGGUCAUGACGGCGGUCUGUCGAACCGCAAACGGGAGUUCAAUUCUCCUCGUUCCCG